Molecule: ribosomal RNA, 1241 nt
Filed under: Lactobacillus acidophilus
Lineage: Bacteria; Bacillati; Bacillota; Bacilli; Lactobacillales; Lactobacillaceae
Description: partial 23S ribosomal RNA
Rfam family: Bacterial large subunit ribosomal RNA
Source: RNAcentral
GGUCAAGUAGAAAAGGGCGCACGGUGAAUGCCUAGGCACUAACAGCCGAUGAAGGACGUGACGAACUACGAAAAGCUUCGGGGAGCGGUAAGUACGCAGUGAUCCGGAGAUGUCCGAAUGGGGGAACCCAAUGCAGCGAUGCAUUAUUGGUUGAUGAAUAGAUAGUCAAUCAAAGGAAGACGCAGUGAACUGAAACAUCUAAGUAGCUGCAGGAAGAGAAAGAAAAAUCGAUUUCCUUAGUAGCGGCGAGCGAAGAGGAAAGAGCCCAAACCAAGUGAUUUAUCAUUUGGGGUUGUAGGACUGCAAAGUGGUAGCGUAAGCGAUAGUUGAAUUAUCUGGGAAGGUAAGCCAGAGAGGGUGAGAGCCCCGUAAGCGAAAUUGCGAGCGCGCCUAGCAGAAUCCUGAGUAGGCCGGGACACGAGGAAUCCCGGUUGAAGCCGCGAGGACCAUCUCGCAAGGCUAAAUACUAGUUAGUGACCGAUAGUGAACCAGUACCGUGAGGGAAAGGUGAAAAGAACCCCGGAAGGGGAGUGAAAGAGAACCUGAAACCGUGUGUCUACAAGUAGUCAAAGCACAUUAAAGUGCGAUGGCGUGCCUUUUGUAGAAUGAACCGGCGAGUUACGUUAUCUAGCGAGGUUAAGUCAGAAAAGACGGAGCCGGAGCGAAAGCGAGUCUGAAUAGGGCGAAGAGUUAGGUGACGUAGACCCGAAACCAAGUGACCUACCCAUGGCCAGGCUGAAGGUGUGGUAAAACGCACUGGAGGGCCGAACCCACGUAAGUUAAAAAUUGCGGGGAUGAGCUGUGGGUAGCGGUGAAAUUCCAAACGAACUUGGAGAUAGCUGGUUCUCUCCGAAAUAGCUUUAGGGCUAGCCUCGUGGAGAGGAUAAUGGAGGUAGAGCUCUGUUUGGACUAGGGGCCCGUCAGGGGUUACUGAAUCCAGAUAAACUGCGAAUUCCAUAUAUCCAUACACGGGAGUCAGACUGCGAGUGAUAAGAUCCGUAGUCGAAAGGGAAACAGCCCAGAUCACCAGUUAAGGUCCCCAAAUCUAUGCUAAGUGGAAAAGGAUGUGGAGUUGCGUAGACAACUAGGACGUUGGCUCAGAAGCAGCCAUCAUUCAAAGAGUGCGUAAUAGCUCACUAGUCGAGUGGCGCUGCGCCGAAAAUUUACCGGGGCUAAGCAUAGUACCGAAACUGUGGAUGCAUCGAAAGAUGCGUGGUAGGAGAGCGUUCUAAGUGCGGCGA